CCUACGGGUGGCAGCAGUGGGGAAUAUUGGACAAUGGGCGAAAGCCUGAUCCAGCCAUGCCGCGUGUGUGAAGAAGGCCUUCGGGUUGUAAAGCACUUUCAGUGGGGAAGAAAGCCUUGGGGCUAAUACCCUCGAGGAAGGACAUCACCCACAGAAGAAGCACCGGCUAACUCCGUGCCAGCAGCCGCGGUAAUACGGAGGGUGCGAGCGUUAAUCGGAAUUACUGGGCGUAAAGCGCGCGUAGGCGGUCUGAUAAGCCGGUUGUGAAAGCCCCGGGCUCAACCUGGGAACGGCAUCCGGAACUGUCAGGCUAGAGUGCAGGAGAGGAAGGUAGAAUUCCCGGUGUAGCGGUGAAAUGCGUAGAGAUCGGGAGGAAUACCAGUGGCGAAGGCGGCCUUCCGGACUGACACUGACGCUGAGGUGCGAAAGCGUGGGUAGCAAACAGGAUUAGAUACCCCGGUAGUC
Molecule: ribosomal RNA, 465 nt
Filed under: Vreelandella stevensii
Lineage: Bacteria; Pseudomonadati; Pseudomonadota; Gammaproteobacteria; Oceanospirillales; Halomonadaceae
Description: partial 16S ribosomal RNA
Rfam family: Bacterial small subunit ribosomal RNA
Source: RNAcentral